Ricinus communis (castor bean) is the source of this 1773-nucleotide RNA transcript. It is a transcript of the gene named flap endonuclease 1, with no coding region annotated. The transcript is spliced from 19 exons. NCBI's taxonomy places the organism in Eukaryota, Viridiplantae, Streptophyta, Magnoliopsida, Malpighiales, Euphorbiaceae. The record is from RefSeq and is a predicted model, not a curated record.
AAGGCGCCAGUAGGCGGGAAAGAUUGUGCCUUUGUCGCUCAAUUUCUACAGUGGUAUAGCUCCUGCUUUGCGACCUAAACUCCCUCCCAAAAGAAAAGAAAGAAGUUGUGAUUCCCAUUUUCAUAAUUAUCAAUGGGUAUCAAGGGUUUAACAAAGCUGUUGGCUGAUAAUGCUCCUAAAGCUAUGAAAGAGCAGAAGUUUGAGAGCUAUUUUGGCCGCAAGAUCGCUAUUGACGCUAGCAUGAGCAUCUACCAGUUCCUUAUUGUAGUAGGAAGAAGUGGAACUGAAAUGUUGACUAAUGAAGCUGGUGAAGUCACUAGUCACUUACAAGGCAUGUUUAGUCGGACAAUUAGACUUCUCGAGGCUGGAAUGAAGCCCGUCUACGUGUUUGAUGGGCAGCCUCCGGAUUUGAAAAAACAGGAGCUAGCAAAACGUUACUCAAGGAGGGCAGAUGCUACUGAGGAAUUGGCUGCAGCUGUGGAGACUGGUAAUAAGGAAGACAUUGAAAAAUUCAGUAAGCGGACUGUGAAGGUGACAAAACAGCAUAAUGAAGACUGCAAAAGACUUUUAAGACUAAUGGGAGUACCUGUAAUUGAGGCUCCUUCUGAAGCAGAGGCAGAGUGUGCUGCACUUUGCAAAUCAGGAAAGGUUUAUGCUGUAGCUUCUGAGGACAUGGAUUCCUUAACUUUUGGAGCUCCUAGGUUUCUUCGUCAUUUGAUGGAUCCCAGCUCAAGAAAAGUCCCAGUUAUGGAAUUUGAAACUUCAAAGAUUUUGGAGGAGCUGAACCUUACCAUGGAUCAAUUUAUUGACCUCUGCAUCCUUUCUGGAUGUGAUUAUUGUGACAGCAUUCGAGGAAUUGGAGGCAUGACUGCCUUGAAGCUUAUUCGUCAGCAUGGCUCCAUAGAGAAUAUUUUGGAGAACAUGAAUAAAGAGAGGUACCAAAUACCAGAGGAUUGGCCAUAUCAGGAGGCUCGGCGGCUUUUUAAGGAACCACUUGUCCUUGCUGAUGAAGAGGAACCUGAGCUUAAGUGGACUGCCCCAGAUCAAGAGGGGCUGAUAACUUUUCUGGUGAAUGAAAAUGGGUUCAAUAAUGAUCGGGUGACAAAGGCCAUAGAAAAAAUUAAAGCAGCUAAGAACAAGUCAUCACAGGGCCGAUUGGAAUCUUUUUUUAAGCCAGUUGCCAACUCAUCUAUUCCCAUUAAGCGGAAGGAAACUAAAUGCGUGCUUCAAUCUCCUAAACCAGCAAUCAAGUUUAAAAUGCUGUCUGUGCAAGCUUGUAAUUGUUCCAUGCCCAAGGUCAUUGGCAGGUUAAGCCUGCCAAUUCUCAAUCUAGGUUCCAAGCUCUCAACGCCAGUAUCCAGAGGUGUCUGCUUCGGCAUAUGAAGCUAAAAACUCUGGAAACACCUGAUCACACAGCCAAAGAAACAAGUGCUAAAAAGUCAAAGGCUGGAGGUGGUAGGAAGAAGAAGUAGUUAGUCUGGCAUCGUAACCUCAUCCUACACAUGGCUGGUGAUCAGGUAUCAGUUUUUACAUCAGAGAACAUCCCUCAUAGAUUAUCCAGAGGAUGCUUAGAAUGCAGAAUGUUUAACCUUCAUUGAUAAUUCUUGUAUCUAUCUGGGAAAUUUCGAGGUAUAUAGUACUUUUUUUUUCCUCUCUCUUCCUGUAGGUUAGUAAGAUUUGUGGAUGUUGCGAUUGAUUAAUCUACACUUUUGCUUCUGGUUACAGUUUAGUGCCAUGGCAUAAUUUUAUGUAGUUGCUAGUAACAUUGGUCUA